This 86-nucleotide microRNA precursor is filed under the name Oryza sativa (Asian cultivated rice). Its description in RNAcentral is "miR2091 stem-loop (osa-MIR2091)". Lineage: Eukaryota; Viridiplantae; Streptophyta; Magnoliopsida; Poales; Poaceae. The record is from miRBase by way of RNAcentral.
GAGCUCAACCGAGCCGAGGAGGAGGCCAUGCGUGCGGUGGCUGUGGAGAGCCUGCAUACAUUGCCUCCUAGGCUUGGCGGAGCAGC